RNAcentral lists this long non-coding RNA (270 nucleotides) under Glycine max (soybean). RNAcentral describes it as "long non-coding RNA (GMAX_LNC001043)". The record is from RNAcentral. Lineage: Eukaryota; Viridiplantae; Streptophyta; Magnoliopsida; Fabales; Fabaceae.
GCGUUGUUGUUUUAUGAACCCGUCGGAAAGUGAUUGUCGUUGAGAACAAGUCCUUGGAUGGAAACCAAGGGUUGGAGCAUCGCCGACCAGAUAUCCUGCAUAUCCGACCUUUUUGGAUUCAUGAUUUUUGCUCUCCUUGAUAAUUGUUUUGGGCGGUAGACUUUUAGUCUUCCCUCGUUGAAUACUCAUAGUAUUUUCCAUUAUUUGAACCCAAAAGUGGUGAUCGAAGGCAUCCGCAACGAUUUCGGAGUGCAUAAAUGUUUUGGAUGU